AUUGAACGCUGGCGGCAUGCCUUACACAUGCAAGUCGAACGGCAGCACGGGUGCUUGCACCUGGUGGCGAGUGGCGAACGGGUGAGUAAUACAUCGGAACGUACCUUAUCGUGGGGGAUAACGCAGCGAAAGCUGUGCUAAUACCGCAUACGCCCUGAAGGGGAAAGCGGGGGAUCGAAAGACCUCGCGCGAUUAGAGCGGCCGAUGCCUGAUUAGCUUGUUGGUGGGGUAAAAGCCCUCCAAGGGGACGAUCAGUAGCUGGUCUGAGAGGACGAUCAGCCACACUGGGACUGAGACACGGCCCAGACUCCUACGGGAGGCAGCAGUGGGGAAUUUUGGACAAUGGGGGCAACCCUGAUCCAGCAAUGCCGCGUGAGUGAAGAAGGCCUUCGGGUUGUAAAGCUCUUUUGUCAGGGAAGAAACACCGGCUCUAACACAGUCCGGGAAUGACGGUACCUGAAGAAUAAGCACCGGCUAACUACGUGCCAGCCGCCGCGGUAA
RNAcentral lists this ribosomal RNA (501 nucleotides) under uncultured bacterium. Its description in RNAcentral is "partial 16S ribosomal RNA". It matches the Rfam family "Bacterial small subunit ribosomal RNA", at positions 30 to 523 of the family's 1533-position model. The record is from RNAcentral.